GCCCUCAUCGUCCAGCGGCCUAGGACGCCGGCCUUUCAAGCCGGUAACACGGGUUCGAAUCCCGUUGGGGGCA
RNAcentral lists this transfer RNA (73 nucleotides) under Actinobacteria bacterium RBG_16_68_21. RNAcentral describes it as "tRNA-Glu". It matches the Rfam family "tRNA". From Rfam's summary of the family: Transfer RNA (tRNA) molecules are approximately 80 nucleotides in length. The record is from RNAcentral. Lineage: Bacteria; Bacillati; Actinomycetota.